Macaca fascicularis (crab-eating macaque) is the source of this 4430-nucleotide long non-coding RNA. Lineage: Eukaryota; Metazoa; Chordata; Mammalia; Primates; Cercopithecidae. The record is from Ensembl.
UUUUUUUUUUUUUUUCUAUUUUGCUGACUUUCUUUUUUAAAAGCAAAAUAAAUUGAGGUGACUUGUUCAGGGUUAACUGUUUGGCAGGUGGAUGACCUGUGGUCAUCCACGACGAGAUCACCUCCCUGCCCUGCUGACCCCCAGCCUCUAGAGGUCAGGGCUUCUGAGGCCCAGAAGCUCAGAGCCACACCUGUUGAAGGCCAGUGAUGUCAGAAUUACUCUUCCUUCCUCCAGCAGCAUUGACAGCAGUUUAUUGUACGCAGUUUCUAGAACUCAGAUGUUCUAGAAGGAAUGAUUGAGCUCAAAGCAACACUAGGCAUGAUGUGCCUUGUUUAUCUGUUUGAACAGGAGUAAAACAAAAAGAGGCCUAUGUAUUUCUCGUAUUUUUAUAUAAGAGCUGGAGCUAUUUGAAUGGCUAAGGAGGAGAAGAUAGUUUGAUUUAGAUUUGGCACAGGUUUAGGGGAAGAAAUGUCUUUGUAGCUGGUCCUAAAUAUUAUGGUAACUUGGACUGAGUCAGUCUCCAAGGGAGAAGUUGCCACAUGUUAUAACAGAAGCCACUGGGCUUGGCAAGAAAAGAAAUGAAAAAAGUACAACGAAAGCAACCCCACUUCUCCAUCGUGGCGGGGAUGAGCUAGGCAGGAUGACUGCAUGUAACCGUCUUCCUUUCCCUUUGCCUGACCAAAUCCAGCACUGCCCUUUCAAAUCAGUCUUCAUCACAUUCCAAAGAAUACAAAAUACGCAAGUCAAUUUUAAUUUCCAAUGAAUUCUUCAGGAGAAAUUUUUCUUCCUUACUAAAAAAAGAAUAAAAAAUUCAGAAUAGAUUCAAAAUGAGGGGUGGCAGCAAAAAUUCUGACUCUCGGAAGGUUGAGAGGGUGCCUUUUUCAAAUGUAUUUAUUUUAUAGUUCCAAGAAGGUAAGAGUACCUUCUGUUUUGAUUCAUGCUCCACCAUUCCCCUCUUAAAUUUUAAAAAAAUUACAUCCUUGCCUAUGUCUGUCUUGCUAUUUUGACUGGCCAUUCCCAAACAUAAACUGCCCUAGUUUGAAGCUUCUCAAAGCCAAGCAAAGGUGACAGUCUAGUACAAAGAAGGCCGCUAGUGAGUUUUCACUGAGUGAAUCUACAUUGUUCCGUGGCCUUAGUCUGGAUAUGGAUUCUAAAGCUUCUUACACUGACAAAAACGGAGUUUCUAGCUCUCCGGGUAAUUUUCGGUGAAAGAAAAUUAUAAAAGAAGGCAUAAACCUUGGCUCACAAAAUAAAUAUGCACUCAGACCCAUGUACUUCAUGAAACAUACAAGCCCAGAGCUAGACCAUGCCAUCUGUUUUAUGAGGAAAAAAAGUAAAUUCACAUGAUUUACUUGAGCUCUGCCAGAAAUCAUCAGCAUCUACUUGCACAACUAAAGACAAGAAGACAAGGCAGAUGGAGGCUAAACACCGAAUACUGCCUAAUUUUGAUGUGUAUUUUUUGGUCAAACCUCUUAUAAUUUACUAUUUCCAAGAGGAAAAAUAAGCUUAUAUAAUGGCAGUGAAUCAUUAGUUUCCAGUUAUGGGAAGCAAAGGAAAUUAACCUCAAGGAGAAAAAAAUGCUACAAAUAUAAAUUAUCUAGUUUCAGUUUACAAAGCAUGUACUGCCUUUUCUUUCUUUUUUUAAAGAAGAUAUGUUUACGAAAUAGGUGACAGACUAAGGUAGGUGUGUGUGAAGAGAGGCAGUGAGAGAGAGGGGAGCCUGAAAUUCUUCUCAGUACAGGAAAAAGAUAAUUUUUGGGAUGUUUUAAAAAAUAUAUAACUUGAUGAAUAUUUUAUAGCAUGAGUAUUACUUAGGUGCUGUCCUAGACCAGUGUGGUGUACAGGCUAUAAAAGAUUGGUCCUGAAUCCUAACGGCAGGGAUGAGUAUAAGAUUAUCAAGACUUCUUUGCGGGAAGGAGAGCUACUGACAAAGCCGUGUAUUACACGACUCCAGUCCGGGCUGAGAGACCUGUCUUAAAGCAUAGCUAGAGGGCAGACGUGGUGGCUCAUGCCUGUAAUCUCAGCACUUUGGCUGAGGCAGGCAGAUCACUUGAGGUUAGGAGUUCGAGACCAGCCAACAUGGUGAAACCCCAUCUCUACUAAAAAUACAAAGAUUAGCCAGGUGUGGUAGCGUGUGCCUGUAGUCCUAGCUACUCAGGAGGCUGAGGCAGGAGAAUGGCUUGAACUGGGGAGGCAGAGGCUGCAGUGAGCCAAGAUUGUGCCAUUUGCACUCCAGCCUGGGUGACAGAGUGAGACUCCAUUUCAACAACAACAACAACAAAAAAGCACAGACAGAUACAAUGUCCUGGAAUCACUAAAAUGGAUAAACUAUGAUGUCCAUAAAGUGGAUAAGUUAUGAUAUACAUUCACACACUAGAUAUACUCAUUACGAUAUGCUCAUAUCUAUCGUGAGGGCUAAACCCACAUAAGUCCAUAACGCACUCACAGGUCUGUGCUCUUUGGCCCUGGUCCUGUAGUCAUUCAGAAGCGAUCACAGAGAACACAAUGGGUCUGUUAGUCGCUCUGUACACAGUCAUGUGCAGCAUAACAUUUCAGUUAAUGGUGUACCACAUCCAUGAUGGCGGGCCGGUAAGAUUACGUGGAGCUGAAAAUUCCUAUUGCCUAGUGACACUGUAGCCAUUGUAACACACUGCACGGCUUUGCUUUUUCUAUAUUUAUGUAUGCUUAGAUAUAUAAGCACUUACCACUGUGUUACAAUGUAUUCAGUACAGCUGUAGUGUAGGCUGUACAGGUUUGUGGCCUAGGAGCAGCAGGGCCAUAUCAUAUCGCCUAGGGAUGUCGUAGGCUAUACCGUCUAGGUUUAUGGAUAUACACUCUAUGAUGUUCACACAAUGACAAAACUGCCUAUCCACACUGUUAAGUGACACAUGACAGUAUAUGCAUUAAGCACCUACUAUGUGUCAGGUAGUGUACUUGGCAGGUGCGAAGUAUGGUGGAGAAUCAAUAAAGGCCCUCACAGAGUUCAUAGUCUACGGGGAAGAAUGGUGAGCUCCAGUAUAGAUACCCAGUAUAGACACAGCCAAGUGACCAAGAGCACUGGCUUGGAGUCAUUCAGAUGCAGUUUAAUCCUUGGUUCUGCUACUUGCUUUGGAAAUGUGACUUAACUCCUUAAUCACUGCUUACUUUAUAUGUAAAAUGGGAUGGUAAUGCCAGCCUUCAGGGCUGUUGAGAAGAUUCCAUGAGACAAUGUUUAUAAAGCACUUAAAACAGCAUCUAGCACACAACAGACCUAAUAAAUGGGAGUUAUGAUGACUGUUCUCUCAAAGAACCAAGGGACACACACAAAGAGGUUUGCUAUGUUCUCCCCCAGAACACACCCCAAAAUGCUGAAUCAGGAGCCAACUCAUAUCACCACUUUAUCACACUCCUGUAUCACCCUGGGCAAAUCAGAUGCCCACCAAUGUCACUAGGCUAGACAGCAAAGUCUAGUUGCUAAAAAUAUACUCCAGCAGGAGGUCUACAAUGUUGCUGUAAUGGGAAUGCUUUCUGUUUUUCAAGGCGCUAAGAAGCAUUAUCGAAGGGCCUCUUGAAAAAUAACUUGUAAGCAUUUUCUCUUUCAACACAAGCCCUACCAAGAGCGCACUACCAUCAUAAAUAUUCUGGACAUUGGUUCCAAAGGGAGAGAUGAAAAGCUGUGCCCAGGGCAUUAAGCUGAGAAGUGGUGGAGUGGUCAACAGCACAACCUCUGCAGACAGGCUGCCUGAGUCUUCAGUCCUGCUCUGUCACUCAGGACUCAUUGCUUAAAAUCUGUAAAAUGGGAUACUAUUAUUCCCUAUCUCAUUAGGUAGCUGUAAGGAUUAAAAUCAUUAACACCUGUAGGGCAACUAAAACAGUGCCUGACAUACAGAGAACAUUCCAUAAACAUUACCAAUAAUUACGCACGGCAAACUCAGUAACUUCAUUACCUUGCUAAUAAAAACAUGAGGGCCAAAUAGCAAGAAAGCACCUGAACUACACCAGAGGUUUGAAACCUGAGUUUUCUCCUUGGCUCUCCCAUCAGCCUUCUGCAUGACUGUGGGUACAUCACAUCCCUUCUGUACUUCACUAUUCUCAUCUAUACAAAAAGCAAUAUACACAUACACCAAGAACACCUAGAGAAGCCUGAUGCAGCUUUCUGCUAAUAUCAACGGGAGUCGAACAGUUUAAAUUUCUUUAUCUUCCUAUCUGCAUUAGUCAGGGUUCUCCAGAGAAACAGAACCAAUAGGGGGAGAGGGAGAGGUAAACGGAGAUUGAGAGAGAGGUUGAGAUUGAGAGAGUGAGUGGUGGGGGUAGGGGUAGAUACUGAUAUUUACCUUAAGGAACUAGCUCAUGCAAUUAUAGGGACUGACAAAUCCACAAUCUUCAGGGCAUGCCGGUGACCAAGGGAAGAGUUGAUGUUGCAGUCUUUUUUUUUUGUUUUUUGAGACAGA